GACGAACGCUGGCGGCGUGCUUAACACAUGCAAGUCGAACGGAAAGGCCCUGCUUUUGUGGGGUGCUCGAGUGGCGAACGGGUGAGUAACACGUGAGUAACCUGCCCUUGACUUUGGGAUAACUUCAGGAAACUGGGGCUAAUACCGGAUAGGAGCUCCUGCUGCAUGUUGGGGGUUGGAAAGUUUCGGCGGUUGGGGAUGGACUCGCGGGUUAUCAGCUUGUUGGUGGGGUAGUGGCUUACCAAGGCUUUGACGGGUAGCCGGCCUGAGAGGGUGACCGGCCACAUUGGGACUGAGAUACGGCCCAGACUCCUACGGGAGGCAGCAGUGGGGAAUAUUGCACAAUGGGCGGAAGCCUGAUGCAGCAACGCCGCGUGCGGGAUGACGGCCUUCGGGUUGUAAACCGCUUUCGCCUGUGACGAAGCGUGAGUGACGGUAAUGGGUAAAGAAGCACCGGCUAACUACGUG
RNAcentral lists this ribosomal RNA (468 nucleotides) under uncultured bacterium. RNAcentral describes it as "partial 16S ribosomal RNA". It matches the Rfam family "Bacterial small subunit ribosomal RNA", at positions 28 to 507 of the family's 1533-position model. The record is from RNAcentral.